This 3212-nucleotide long non-coding RNA is filed under the name Arabidopsis lyrata. RNAcentral describes it as "long non-coding RNA (ALYR_LNC001899)". The record is from RNAcentral. Lineage: Eukaryota; Viridiplantae; Streptophyta; Magnoliopsida; Brassicales; Brassicaceae.
UGCGUGAUUAGGUUUGCAAAAUUCAUAAAACACGAAGGUAUUUUAUAAUUGCCUUUCCAUGUUAAAGAACUGUUUUUCAAUUUUGUAAAGCGAAAAUACAAGAUUAAUUGUUCAUUGCUAUGUAAAUUUUAGAUUCUAUAAUCAUCACCAAUGCUUCGGAAUUUUCACAAGUUCGGAUAAAUCCUCCCAUACCAGAGGUCGAAGCAUUCAAACAUAUGGUACACUUUUUGAAUGAUGUUCAAAUCAAAAAUAAUUAUUAACAAAUACUUUCCCCCGCGGUGGCACCGCAGGCUCUGACCUAGUAGUCUUGUAUAAUAAUGUCGGUUUUAAGUCCACCAUGAAGUCCAUCAAUAACGAUAUUUCAUGAAAAAUAUCUCCUUUGUGAUUAUAGAUAAUUUAGUUUGUAGUGACAUUUUUAGAAAAUUCCCUCCAAUUUCUCAAAGAAGGGCACAAUUAGAUCUUAAGGAAUUACCCUUGAUGCAGCCCAAACCUGUUGUCAUUUCACCUUCAAUCAAGUGGGUAGGCCAUUUGGCCCAUUUCAAAUGUAAUGUCGAAGUGGCAUGGAAAGCAGAUUAGAAGCGGUGCAGUAUUGGGUGGAUUCUAAGGGAUUAAACAGGGAAAGCAAGGUGGGUUGGAGCAAGUUGAGAAAAAAAAAUAGUUUGACUAGUAUGUUGCCUUUAUUUCCAAUUAGCACUUUACUAGUUAAAGGGAAAACAAAUCUAACAUACGGUAAACCUUUAAUAAACUAAUACUCGAUAAAUUAAUAAACUUUUUUGGUUCCGAGUUGAGCAACUAUAAUAUUUGACAUAAUACGAUAAAAUGAUAAGAUAAUAUUUUUUGAAAAAUCUAUAUAAAUAUAUGGUUUCAUAAAUAUUAUGAAUUAAUAGUUGUUUAAAUAUGUCAAAAGUAUAUAUUUAAGAAGAUUUAGUGAAAUAUGUCUUUAGUGUUGUUAUUUCUUACUUUUCAUUAAUUCUUGGUAGAGGUUGUUUCAAAUAUUUGCACUUCAUCAAAAAAUGUUGGUUUUGUAUUUUAGAUAUGAUAAUUGUUUUUACUUGUAAUUGGUUCUAAAAAUAUAUUUAUUAUAACAAAAAAAAUUAUCUUGGAGUAGAAUGUUUUUAAGAAAUUGUAAAUAAAUCAAAUCUUUCAAGAAAUUAAAAAUUAUUAAUUUAUUCAUAUAUUAAUACUUUUAUAAAAUAAUAAACUAUUUUAGUCUGGACAUUAUUAAUUUAUAGAAGUUUAACUGUAUAUCGUAUGUGUAUUAUUUAAAUUUUUCUUCCUUAUAGUAAAAUUAGACUCUAUCUUAAUUAGUUGACUACAAUGCAUAUGUAAUAAAUAAAUAUAUAUCUAUAUCUAUCGAGCAUUGCGACAAUCCUUAUAUAUAUAUAUAUAUAUUCCUCGAACAAAUUGGCCUGUAUUAGUUUAACAAUGAUGGUUUCUUUGCCAUCUUCUUAACCUUUGAUCUUAGCCAUAUGAGUUAUUGGAAAAAACAAUCAUCAUUUGUAUAGUUGCAUAACUUCAUUAAAUCCAUCAAAAUUGUUGUUUUGACGCUAUAGGUUACGUCUAUGGCUUUGAGAAUAUCAUCCUUUUUUGGGGUGGGAGUACUUUUACAUGAUUUGAAAAAGUACAUGACAUCAGGUAAAGCGUGAUUCUGCUCAAGUUAGUUUGAAACUAUACUCUCUAAAGUUUAUUUUAAUCUCGCAUGUUGACCUUUGCACUAUAUGAGCCAAAGCUUUAGAUUUCAAACUCGUAAUCAUAUUCUUUGUUAUCGUGAGAAAUAAAAAAGAGAUUAAGGCUACAUUCCUCGUAACUCUAGUCUUUCUUGUAGAUUAUAUAAGGUUAAUUUUUGGAAGUUGAUAUUUAUUAAUCAUAAGAGGUCUAUUUUAUAGACCUUGGUAGUUGGUACAACUAAAUUGAAAGUAAAAUCACCAAAACCUUAACGUAAUGUAAAAAGGAAAACACCAAAACUAAUUAAUUUAAACAUCUUAAUUGUACCCUAAUCAACCAAACCUCUCUAUACUAUUAAAAGAGAAGUACAUUUGUACUUGGGUCGGGUUACAAUUGAAAAAAAAUUAAAAUUGACACGGAAACAUCCUAAACGGAUCUUUGCAAGCAUAAUUAUAAAACAUUAAUCGGAUUUCCAUAUAUAUUUUGUCAUUAUUGUCGCUAAAAGCACUAACUAAUUACCUAACAAUAAGAUUAGAACGAAAUACAAAAUUUAAAAUAUAUAGUAAUCGGAUCUUCAAGAUUUCCAUAUAUAUUCGUCGACACUAAAACAUUAAUUAUGCUAAAAGCACUAAUUAGUUACCUAACAAUAACGAGAAUUGCGUUCAACUAAUUUUUGGAAAUAAGAUUAUGCAAAAUUAAUCCUUGCGAUCUUAUCUUAUUAAUAUCGCAAGUACAAUCUUAAAAAAAUCUUCACAAUACAGAAACGAAUUAUAUUGUUUAGUUAAUCAUAUAUUUUCUUGACAUGUUACUUCCUUUUUUAAUUAUUUCGUCAAUCAAAACAACCCUACAAUGUCGCCGUUGAAUAUCCUUUGACGAAUAUUCUUGGUUUAAACCCUACAAUUGUAUUCGACUAUAAAUAUAUGAUCACACCAUACGUCUAAACACAAGCCUUUAGCAAUAAACUUUUAGAUAUUAUGGGACAAAUUGUAAACAUUGGUGAAUUGGAACAAAUAGAAGAUUCCAACAAUCUACAAAAGAACUUUUUUACUACGUGAUGUUAGGUACCCUCCUGCAUGAUCUAUUAAAUCAGUUAUAUUAUCUUGCUAAUAUUGUGAGUACAAAAAUAUUCAUUUAUCCCAGCUUUUGGUAUUCUAAUCAUUCUAUUUUUAUAGUGGUCAGAUUUUGGAAUGUGUUUUGUGGAAUUCAUUUGCGGAGCACGUUCUCAAAUCCUCUAAAGAGUAUGUCCAUGUUCCUAUUGUCUGCGUGAUUAGGUUUGCAAAAUUCAUAAAACACGAAGGUAUUUUAUAAUUGCCUUUCCAUGUUAAAGAACUGUUUUUCAAUUUUGUAAAGCGAAAAUACAAGAUUAAUUGUUCAUUGCUAUGUAAAUUUUAGAUUCUAUAAUCAUCACCAAUGCUUCGGAAUUUUCACAAGUUCGGAUAAAUCCUCCCAUACCAGAGGUCGAAGCAUUCAAACAUAUGGUACACUUUUUGAAUGAUGUUCAAAUCAAAAAUAAUUAUUAACAAAUACUUUCCCCCGCGGUGGCACCG